ACGAAAGUUUUUAACUUUAGUGGCGAACGGGUGCGUAAUACGUGAGAAUCUGCCCCUAGGAGAAGAAUAACUGCUGGAAACGGCUGCUAAAUCUUCAUAUGUCGAGAGAUGAAAUAGCUUAGGCUGCCUAGGGAUGAGCUCGCGCCUGAUUAGCUAGUUGGUGAGGUAAUGGCUCACCAAGGCCACGAUCAGUAGCUGGUUUGAGAGAACGAUCAGCCACACUGGGACUGAGACACGGCCCAGACUCCUCCGGGAGGCAGCAGUGAGGAAUUUUCCGCAAUGGGCGAAAGCCUGACGGAGCAAUACCGCGUGAGGGAUGAAGGAUUUUGGUCUGUAAACCUCUUUUCUCAAGAAAGAAGUUCUGACGGUACUUGAGGAAUAAGCAUCGGCUAACUCCGUGCCAGCAGCCGCGGUAAUACGGGGGAUGCAAGCGUUAUCCGGAAUCAUUGGGCGUAAAGCGCCUGUAGGUUGUUUAAUAAGUCCGUUGUUAAAGACUAGGGCUUAACCCUAGAAAAAGCAAUGGAAACUAUUAGACUAGAGUAUGGCAGGGGUAGAGGGAAUUUCUAGUGUAGCGGUGAAAUGCGUAGAUAUUAGAAAGAACACCGGCGGCGAAAGCGCUCUACUGGACCAUUACUGACACUCAGAGGCGAAAGCUAGGGUAGCAAAAGGGAUUAGAUACCCCUGUAGUCCUAGCCGUAAACGAUGGAUACUAGAUGUUGUGCUUUAUGUACAGUAUCGUAGCUAACGCGUUAAGUAUCCCGCCUGGGGAGUACGCUCGCAAGGGUGAAACUCAAAGGAAUUGACGGGGGCCCGCACAAGCGGUGGAGCAUGUGGUUUAAUUCGAUGCAACGCGAAGAACCUUACCAGGGCUUGACAUACUACGAAUUCUCUUGAAAAAGAGAAGUGCCUUCGGGAAUGUAGAUACAGGUGGUGCAUGGCUGUCGUCAGCUCGUGUCGUGAGAUGUUGGGUUAAGUCCCGCAACGAGCGCAACCCUUAUUUUUAGUUACUAAUUCGUUAGGUUCUCUAGAAAGACUGCCGGUGACAAACCGGAGGAAGGUGAGGAUGACGUCAAGUCAGCAUGCCCCUUAUGUCCUGGGCUACACACGUGCUACAAUGGUUAAGACAAAGAGUCGCGAGCUUGUAAAAGUCAGCUAAUCUCAUAAACUUAGCCUAAGUUCAGAUUGUAG
This 1188-nucleotide ribosomal RNA is filed under the name Chrysochromulina acantha. RNAcentral describes it as "bacterial SSU rRNA". It matches the Rfam family "Bacterial small subunit ribosomal RNA", at positions 66 to 1303 of the family's 1533-position model. Lineage: Eukaryota; Haptophyta; Prymnesiales; Chrysochromulinaceae. The record is from RNAcentral.